RNAcentral lists this ribosomal RNA (219 nucleotides) under Rogeria scobinata. RNAcentral describes it as "partial large subunit ribosomal RNA". Lineage: Eukaryota; Metazoa; Arthropoda; Insecta; Hymenoptera; Formicidae. The record is from RNAcentral.
GAAUUUUAUAUGAAUAGUAAUAAAGAAUUUAAAUUUAAUUAAGAUGGUAUUAUUAUUUAUAUUUUGUUGGGAGGAUAAUUAAAUUUAAAAAACUUUAAUUAAAAUAAAAUAUUAAUGAGUAAAAAAGAAGAUUGAGAAUGUUUAUUAUAAAAAGAAUUAAUUACCUUAGGGAUAACAGCAUAAAAUUUUUAGAAAGAUCUUAUUAAUAAAAAUAUUUGU